AGAGUUUGAUCCUGGCUCAGGACGAACGCUGGCGGCGUGCUUAACACAUGCAAGUCGAGCGGAAAGGCCCUUCGGGGUACUCGAGCGGCGAACGGGUGAGUAACACGUGAGCAACCUGCCCUUGGCUCUGGGAUAGCUCCGGGAAACCGGGAUUAAUACCGGAUGUGACCCUCCUCUGCAUGGUGGGGGGUGGAAAGUUUUUCGGCCAGGGAUGGGCUCGCGGCCUAUCAGCUUGUUGGUGGGGUAGUGGCCUACCAAGGCGACGACGGGUAACCGGCCUGAGAGGGCGACCGGCCACACUGGGACUGAGACACGGCCCAGACUCCUACGGGAGGCAGCAGUGGGGAAUAUUGCGCAAUGGGCGGAAGCCUGACGCAGCGACGCCGCGUGCGGGAUGAAGGCCUUCGGGUUGUAAACCGCUUUCAGCAGGGACGAAUCUGACGGUACCUGCAGAAGAAGCGCCGGCUAACUACGUGCCAGCAGCCGCGGUAAUACGUAGGGCGCGAGCGUUGUCCGGAAUUAUUGGGCGUAAAGAGCUCGUAGGCGGCCAGUUGCGUCCGCUGUGAAAUCCCGGGGCUCAACCCCGGGCGUGCAGUGGAUACGGGCUGGCUAGAGGCAGGCAGGGGAGAACGGAAUUCCUGGUGUAGCGGUGAAAUGCGCAGAUAUCAGGAGGAACACCGGUGGCGAAGGCGGUUCUCUGGGCCUGUUCUGACGCUGAGGAGCGAAAGGUGGGGAGCGAACAGGAUUAGAUACCCCCGUAGUCC
Molecule: ribosomal RNA, 764 nt
Filed under: uncultured bacterium
Lineage: Bacteria
Description: bacterial SSU rRNA
Rfam family: Bacterial small subunit ribosomal RNA
Source: RNAcentral